RNAcentral lists this long non-coding RNA (1355 nucleotides) under Piliocolobus tephrosceles (Ugandan red Colobus). Its description in RNAcentral is "lncRNA (ENSPTEG00000002485.1)". The record is from RNAcentral. Lineage: Eukaryota; Metazoa; Chordata; Mammalia; Primates; Cercopithecidae.
AAAUGGAGAUGAAAAUGGAGAUGAAAAUGACGAAUCCAGUGACGACACAGACGAUACCUUAAUUACAAAUUUUAAAUCAAAAUAUAAUAACGAUAUUGACUUUUAUUUAGACUUAUGUACAUAUUUUUAUUUUGCAAAAAAACAGAGAUGAUUUUUGUUAUCUCAUGAAAUUGGAUAAAAAGAAAACUUCGGAAUUACUUAAAUUAUCUAAUCAGUUAAUACAUAUAAUUAAUCUCAAACUUAACAAAAAUAUUACUUUUGAAAAUUUGGAAAAAAAACCAUCCUCUUUAUCAAAACAAAUAAUACAUUAUGCUAUUAUUCAAGGAUUUAUAGACCAUUUAGCAAUUCGUUAUGAUUUUAUACAUAACGAAUAUACUAGAAAUGUAGAAUGUAAAUAUAAUAAUAAAAAAGCAUAUUUUACUCAAAACAUGAACACACCUGUAUAUAUUAAUUCGACUUCCGCUCUAUAUCCAAAUAGGCCAUACCCAAAAUACAUUUUAUACAAUUAUAUUAUGAAGAAUAAAAACUCAUAUGUUAUGUUUGACUGUUUACAUAUAAACGAGUCGGACUUAGAAAAGAUAACAAAUGCUUGUAUAUUUACUAACACAUACGAAAAAAUUCCUCCACCUAAAUACAAUACUAAAAAGGAUAAAAUUGUUGUUUAUAUAAAACCUAUGUAUUUACCUUAUUCUCUGCAGUUAUCUAUAGCAGAAAAAGAGUUAAACGAAAAUGACGUUUUAUUUUAUAAUUAUCUUGCACUGUUCAUAUUAAAUGGAGCAAUGUUUCCAAAAAUGUGUACAUUCCAAAAACUAUAUUCUCACGACGCAAGUGAUGUAAUUAAUUGUACUCAACAAGAAAUUAAAAAUUUUAUAGCCGCUUUAAAACAAAACAGAAUAGUGAACAGGUAUAGCUAUACAUUUGUUGCAUAUACAAGUGCAUAUAUAUAUAUAUAUAUAUAUAUAUAUAUAUACUCACCCGGUUUACCCAUCCGGUUUAUUUGUAUUUACUUAUUUUUUCGGUUAUUUGUGUUUUUUUCUUUUUAGGUCAACUUUAAUAAGUAAAUGGAAACAGAAUAACAAUUUUUUUAAAAAAUGAAUUUAUUCCUUUAGUAGAAAACAAAAUUACGAAGUAUAAUCAAAAUGCUGUUCAUGAUUUAUGGCCACCUACGCAUGUUUCAUAACAAUACAUAAAUAUAAAAAACUUUGAUAUAUAUCUAUACAUGUAUGUACAUGUAAUCCCAGUUACAUGCAACAAGUUCAAAAACGCGUUUAUAUAUAUCACAUAGUAGUGAUUAUUAUAAACCAUUUUUUAAAUUAUAAAAUAAAAAUAGUUUAUUUAUAUUUAUAUUACGAAAA